UACAGAGGUGGCAAGCGUUGUUCGGAAUUACUGGGCGUAAAGGGCGCGUAGGCGGCCACUUGAGUCAGACGUGAAAUCCCCGGGCUUAACUCGGGAACUGCGUCUGAUACUGAGUGGCUGGAGUUCGGGAGAGGGAUGUGGAAUUCCAGGUGUAGCGGUGAAAUGCGUAGAUAUCUGGAGGAACACCGGUGGCGAAGGCGGCAUCCUGGACCGAAACUGACGCUGAGGCGCGAAAGCCAGGGGAGCAAACGGG
Molecule: ribosomal RNA, 253 nt
Filed under: uncultured bacterium
Lineage: Bacteria
Description: partial 16S ribosomal RNA
Rfam family: Bacterial small subunit ribosomal RNA
Source: RNAcentral